RNAcentral lists this ribosomal RNA (100 nucleotides) under Aotus nancymaae (Ma's night monkey). The record is from RNAcentral. Lineage: Eukaryota; Metazoa; Chordata; Mammalia; Primates; Aotidae.
UGAGCCGGCCACACCACCCUGAACGUACCCGAUCUCGUCGUCGAUCUCGGGAAGCUAAGCAGGGUCGACCUGGUUAGUACUUGGAAGGGAACCAUCUUUU